UUAUCAUAUCGAUUGUUUUACCUCAAUGCAAUUUUUUCGUAGACUGAGUUCAACUGAAUGAUAUCAUUAAUGACAUAUCAGACAAGAGCUCAACUCAUAUAUAUCAUAUGAGCAAUUGAAGAGUGAACGAGGAAGCCAUGGAUUGGAGAGUGAUUACUAUUUACUGGCAUUGAACUUUUCCCUCAACGAAUGAGCUUUUCCUCUGUAAAGGGCAGAAGCAAUAAUCAAAAACGAAUAUACAUCACUACUUGGAGAUGAGGCAAAGGGUUGGUUGGAUACCACAUAUCUGUCCCAAUCUGGCAAUUUUCGUAUCUCAAGAAGAAAUAAGUGCAGGGAACAACAUUUGUUCUGCAAGAGAGAGCUGAACUUAGGCAAAGACUAUUUUCAAUCAUGUCCACUGGUACAAGAGUUAAAGAGGUAAUCGAGGAGUUUAUUUCCUUAUAUCAAAGUAUAGGUGAAUUGGAACUCCAAGAAGGGGAAUGGGAAAUGGUUUGGAGUUGACAGGUAAUAAGAGUCAUGUUCAAGUGAAGAUUUACAUAAAUGUGAUUACAAAAAGGUUAUUUGUUUGUACUGGAUUAUCUAAAAUCCUAAAUGAAAUGAAAUAAAAUAAAAUAAAGAAUGAUGAAAUAUGUAAAAUAGGUUGGUUUAUAACUGCUU
Molecule: long non-coding RNA, 657 nt
Organism: Rosa chinensis
Lineage: Eukaryota; Viridiplantae; Streptophyta; Magnoliopsida; Rosales; Rosaceae
Exons: 5
Source: RefSeq, a predicted model, not a curated record